Molecule: ribosomal RNA, 507 nt
Filed under: uncultured bacterium
Lineage: Bacteria
Description: partial 16S ribosomal RNA
Source: RNAcentral
GGAGUUAGCCGGUGCUUCUUCUGUGAGUGAUGUCCUUCCUGCCGGUUAUUGACCCGCAGGCCUUCUUCCUCACUGAAAGUGCUUUACAACCCGAAGGCCUUCUUCACACACGCGGCAUGGCUGGAUCAGGGUUGCCCCCAUUGUCCAAUAUUCCCCACUGCUGCCUCCCGUAGGAGUCUGGGCCGUGUCUCAGUCCCAGUGUGGCUGAUCAUCCUCUCAGACCAGCUACGGAUCGUCGCCUUGGUGAGCCGUUACCUCACCAACCAGCUAAUCCGACAUAGGCUCAUCCGAUAGCGCGAGGCCCGAAGGUCCCCCGCUUUCCCCCGUAGGGCGUAUGCGGUAUUAGCCUGGGUUUCCCCAGGUUAUCCCCCACUACCGGGCAGAUUCCUAUGCAUUACUCACCCGUCCGCCGCUCGCCACCAGGGAGCAAGCUCCCCGUGCUGCCGCUCGACUUGCAUGUGUUAGGCCUGACGCCAGCGUUCAAUCUGAGCCAGAAUCAAACUCUGA